AGAGAGGAAGUGGCUAGAACAAAGGAAGACAGAAGGAAACGGGGCCCUACGGGAUCUACAUAAAGCUGCGAUUCUCACUCACGAGCAUCUCCCUGAGUGUGGUUUUAUGGCCACAAUACGUGUCCUCAUAGUCUACCUGCGGUGAAGGUAUCUGCCUACGAACGUCACAGCAAAUCCUUCCGAGAGAAGCAAUCCUGUUCGUCUCCUUGACGGUGGCACCACGUGACAGGGUGCCAUGGCUUUCCAUCCUGAACAUCUCAUUGGACCACCUGGCACGUCUGCUGAUGGUCACGCAUCAACUUCAUUGCCAAGCCACACACUAAACAACAGUUCUACUUUUCAAUUAAGAUGUUGAUCUGAGGUCACCCAGGAGGCCAGGAAGGGCAUUAGCUCCCUCUCCUUAUGUUCCAGUUCAGCCUCUUUCUUUGGUUUUUGGUUAUUGGAGAAAGUAUUUUCCUACACACCAAGUAUGGUCUGUUAGUAAUAAAUC
This is a long non-coding RNA of Microtus oregoni (creeping vole), 490 nucleotides long. RefSeq lists it as uncharacterized. NCBI's taxonomy places the organism in Eukaryota, Metazoa, Chordata, Mammalia, Rodentia, Cricetidae. The record is from RefSeq and is a predicted model, not a curated record. The transcript has 3 exons.